UACAGAGGGUGCAAGCGUUGUUCGGAUUUACUGGGCGUAAAGCGUGCGUAGGCGGUAUUGAGAGUCGCGGGUGAAAUCCCAGGGCUUAACCCUGGAACUGCCUGCGAGACCUCAGUACUAGAGUGUGAGAGGGGAUGGUGGAAUGCCAAGUGUAGCGGUGAAAUGCGUAGAGAUUUGGCGGAACACCGGUGGCGAAGGCGACCAUCUGGCUCACAACUGACGCUCAGGCACGAAAGCAUGGGGAGCAAACAGG
This 253-nucleotide ribosomal RNA is filed under the name uncultured bacterium. Its description in RNAcentral is "partial 16S ribosomal RNA". It matches the Rfam family "Bacterial small subunit ribosomal RNA", at positions 524 to 776 of the family's 1533-position model. The record is from RNAcentral.